Podarcis lilfordi (Lilford's wall lizard) is the source of this 124-nucleotide non-coding RNA. The record is from the annotation of a GenBank genome assembly. Lineage: Eukaryota; Metazoa; Chordata; Lepidosauria; Squamata; Lacertidae.
CGCAUAUAUAUAUACAUACGUAUGUAUGUAUGUAUGUAUGUAUUUUUUGUGUGUAUAUAUGUGUGUGUGUGUGCGCGCGCGCGCGCCUAUAUAUAUAUAUAUAUAUACACAUAUGUAUUUUGUG